This 395-nucleotide ribosomal RNA is filed under the name uncultured bacterium. RNAcentral's name for it is "bacterial SSU rRNA". It matches the Rfam family "Bacterial small subunit ribosomal RNA", at positions 30 to 420 of the family's 1533-position model. The record is from RNAcentral.
AUUGAACGCUGGCGGCAUGCCUUACACAUGCAAGUCGAACGGCAGCAUGGAGGAGCUUGCUCCUCUGAUGGCGAGUGGCGAACGGGUGAGUAAAGCAUCGGAACGUACCGUGUAGUGGGGAUAACGUAGCGAAAGUUACGCUAAUACCGCAUACGCACUGAGGUGGAAAAGCAGGGGAUCGCAAGACCUUGCGCUAUACGAGCGGCCGAUGUCAGAUUAGCUAGUUGGUAGGGUAAAGGCCUACCAAGGCGACGAUCUGUAGCGGGUCUGAGAGGAUGAUCCGCCACACUGGGACUGAGACACGGCCCAGACUCCUACGGGAGGCAGCAGUGGGGAAUUUUGGACAAUGGGGAAACCCUGAUCCAGCCAUGCCGCGUGAGUGAAGAAGGCCUCGG